Molecule: microRNA, 23 nt
Filed under: Gallus gallus (chicken)
Lineage: Eukaryota; Metazoa; Chordata; Aves; Galliformes; Phasianidae
Description: gga-miR-1606
Source: miRBase by way of RNAcentral
AGGGGGCAACAGAACAGUCCUGA